This 120-nucleotide small nucleolar RNA is filed under the name Sorex araneus (European shrew). RNAcentral's name for it is "Small nucleolar RNA SNORA65 (ENSSARG00000019338.1)". The record is from RNAcentral. Lineage: Eukaryota; Metazoa; Chordata; Mammalia; Eulipotyphla; Soricidae.
UAAUCUAUUCCUCCUCUGUAGGUUGCUGUGAUACAAUAGGGAGCCAGAGACUAAAUCCCAGCUUAGGAAACAGGGUUGUUCUUCACAUGGAUGACUCUGUGCUGAAGACAUGAAACAGCC